Molecule: ribosomal RNA, 251 nt
Filed under: uncultured prokaryote
Description: partial 16S rRNA
Rfam family: Bacterial small subunit ribosomal RNA
Source: RNAcentral
ACGGAGGGUGCAAGCGUUAUUCGGAAUUACUGGGCGUAAAGCGCGUGCAGGCGGGGAGGUAAGUCUGAUGUGAAAGCCCCGGGCUUAACCUGGGAAGUGCAUUGGAAACUGCCUAUCUUGAGUGCUGGAGAGGAAAGGGGAAUUCCCGGUGUAGAGGUGAAAUUCGUAGAGAUCAGGAGGAAUACCAGUGGCGAAGGCGCCCGUCUGGACGGCAACUGACGCUGAGACGCGAAAGCGUGGGUAGCAAACAG